AUCAUGAGUUCACAUGUCCGCAUGAUUAAAGGUAUUUUCCGGUAGACGAUGGGGAUGCGUUCCAUUAGAUAGUAGGCGGGGUAACGGCCCACCUAGUCAACGAUGGAUAGGGGUUCUGAGAGGAAGGUCCCCCACAUUGGAACUGAGACACGGUCCAAACUCCUACGGGAGGCAGCAGUGAGGAAUAUUGGUCAAUGGGCGAUGGCCUGAACCAGCCAAGUAGCGUGAAGGAUGACUGCCCUAUGGGUUGUAAACUUCUUUUAUAAAGGAAUAAAGUCGGGUAUGCAUACCCGUUUGCAUGUACUUUAUGAAUAAGGAUCGGCUAACUCCGUGCCAGCAGCCGCGGUAAUACGGAGGAUCCGAGCGUUAUCCGGAUUUAUUGGGUUUAAAGGGAGCGUAGAUGGAUGUUUAAGUCAGUUGUGAAAGUUUGCGGCUCAACCGUAAAAUUGCAGUUGAUACUGGAUGUCUUGAGUGCAGUUGAGGUAGGCGGAAUUCGUGGUGUAGCGGUGAAAUGCUUAGAUAUCACGAAGAACUCCGAUUG
Molecule: ribosomal RNA, 541 nt
Filed under: uncultured Bacteroidota bacterium
Lineage: Bacteria; Pseudomonadati; Bacteroidota
Description: bacterial SSU rRNA
Rfam family: Bacterial small subunit ribosomal RNA
Source: RNAcentral